UACCUUAAGGCAAAAUGCUCUGGGUGAC
RNAcentral lists this non-coding RNA (28 nucleotides) under Rattus norvegicus (Norway rat). The record is from RNAcentral. Lineage: Eukaryota; Metazoa; Chordata; Mammalia; Rodentia; Muridae.